ACCGGGCGUUAAGUUGCAGGGUAUAGACCCGAAACCCGGUGAUCUAGCCAUGGGCAGGUUGAAGGUUGGGUAACACUAACUGGAGGACCGAACCGACUAAUGUUGAAAAAUUAGCGGAUGACCUGUGGCUGGGGGUGAAAGGCCAAUCAAACCGGGAGAUAGCUGGUUCUCCCCGAAAGCUAUUUAGGUAGCGCCUCGUGAAUUCAUCUCCGGGGGUAGAGCACUGUUUCGGCUAGGGGGCCAUCCCGGCUUACCAACCCGAUGCAAACUGCGAAUACCGGAGAAUGUUAUCACGGGAGACACACGGCGGGUGCUAACGUCCGUCGUGAAGAGGGAAACAACCCAGACCGCCAGCUAAGGUCCCAAAGUCAUGGUUAAGUGGGAAACGAUGUGGGAAGGCCCAGACAGCCAGGAUGUUGGCUUAGAAGCAGCCAUCAUUUAAAGAAAGCGUAAUAGCUCACUGGUCGAGUCGGCCUGCGCGGAAGAUGUAACGGGGCUAAACCAUGCACCGAAGCUGCGGCAGCGACACUCAGGUGUUGUUGGGUAGGGGAGCGUUCUGUAAGCCUGCGAAGGUGUGUCGUGAGGC
RNAcentral lists this ribosomal RNA (586 nucleotides) under Salmonella enterica subsp. enterica serovar Oranienburg. RNAcentral's name for it is "partial 23S ribosomal RNA". It matches the Rfam family "Bacterial large subunit ribosomal RNA", at positions 687 to 1269 of the family's 2925-position model. The record is from RNAcentral. Lineage: Bacteria; Pseudomonadati; Pseudomonadota; Gammaproteobacteria; Enterobacterales; Enterobacteriaceae.